This 764-nucleotide ribosomal RNA is filed under the name Hygrophorus sp. HyG1-X-09. RNAcentral's name for it is "eukaryotic LSU rRNA". The stretch from base 233 to 386 matches the Rfam family "5.8S ribosomal RNA". Lineage: Eukaryota; Fungi; Basidiomycota; Agaricomycetes; Agaricales; Hygrophoraceae. The record is from RNAcentral.
GUAACAAGGUUUCCGUAGGUGAACCUGCGGAAGGAUCAUUAUUGAAUUAUAGAGGGAGGUUGUUAGCUGGUCUUAAUCCAAGAUAUUGUGCACACCUCCUUUCCAAAUUUUCCACCAUGUGCACCUUUUGUAGGUCAAUUUUAUAAUUGGCCUAUGUCUUUUCAUAUACACUUAAAAGUUUAGAAUGUUAAAACAUAAGCUUGUUUUUUUUGCAAGCUGAAAAAUUUAAUACAACUUUCAACAACGGAUCUCUUGGCUCUCGCAUCGAUGAAGAACGCAGCGAAAUGCGAUAAGUAAUGUGAAUUGCAGAAUUCAGUGAAUCAUCGAAUCUUUGAACGCACCUUGCGCUCCUUGGUAUUCCGAGGAGCAUGCCUGUUUGAGUGUCAUUAAAUUCUCAAUCCUCUUUAACAAAUUGUGAAGGGGUUUUGGACUUUGGAGUGUUUGCUGGCAUUUUUAUGUCGGCUCCUCUUAAAUAUAUUAGCUGUGGAUCUUUUGCAGAUGAGCUUUAGUUUGAUAAAUAUCUAUGCUAAUUGCUUGUGAAGCAAAAUAUCAGCUUCUAAUUGUUGUUUACAACUCUUUUUUGAUAUUUUGACCUCAAAUCAGGUAGGACUACCCGCUGAACUUAAGCAUAUCAAUAAGCGGAGGAAAAGAAACUAACAAGGAUUCCCCUAGUAACUGCGAGUGAAGCGGGAAAAGCUCAAAAUUUAAAUUCUGGCAGGCUUUUGACUGUCCGAGUUGUAAUCUAGAGAAGUGCUUUCGCGUGG